This is a long non-coding RNA of Lineus longissimus, 427 nucleotides long. RefSeq lists it as uncharacterized. The transcript is spliced from 3 exons. The record is from RefSeq and is a predicted model, not a curated record. Lineage: Eukaryota; Metazoa; Nemertea; Pilidiophora; Heteronemertea; Lineidae.
UGACAGCUCACAAGAAACAGCCUCUGUCAAUCACCUCAAAAACAAGAUGCCACGGGGACAGAGCGCUGCAGAGAAGCAGCGGGAAUACCGGCAAAGAAGGGAUGCAGAUCCUGAUAAAAGAGCCAAUUAUCUCGCCAAAAAGAAAGAAACAUACAAACGGGAGUUAGAAGCAGGAAAGAGAAAACAUGUAGCAGAUAUGACCGCACGGGAGCAACGAGCUAAAAGAAAAGAAUGAAAGGAAUACAAGGCUGAAUCACGUUCGAAGCAAAGGGUUGAAUUGAUGACGCCUCCAGCAACCCCAGAUACAUUGUCACCUGAACACGAAGAGAACAGAUCCAGGCAAAAGGAAAGAGGGCGUAAGAAGGUUGCAGCAUCACGGUCUAAAAGCAAUCGAGAAAGAGCAAUACUUCAAAGUAAACUUGACGAC